This is a non-coding RNA of Pelobates cultripes (western spadefoot toad), 639 nucleotides long. The record is from the annotation of a GenBank genome assembly. Lineage: Eukaryota; Metazoa; Chordata; Amphibia; Anura; Pelobatidae.
AUACAAACACUGACACAUACAGAUACACACACAAACGGAAAACAUACAGAUACAGAGACACAUUCUGACAGACGUACUGACACAGACAGUCAUACUGAACCACACAUACACAAAGACAUACUGAACCACACAGACAUUGACAUACAGAUACACUGACAGACAUACUGGCACAUAUACACACAGACAGACAGACAUACUGAAACACACAUACACACAGACAUUGACAGACAUAUUAAAAAACACAGACAUACAGAACCACAUGGACACUGACAGACUCACACAGACAUACUGACAGACAUACAUACAUUCUGGCACACAUACUCACAGACAGACAUACUGAAACACACAUACACACAUACAUACAUACUGAACCACACAGACAUUGACAGACUCACACACACACACAGACAUACUGACACACUGACAGACAUACACACAUACACUGACAGACAUACACACACAAAGACAUACUGACACACUGACAGACAUACACACAUAUACAGACAGACACACACACACUGACAGACAUACACACAUAUACAGACAUACUGAAACACACAUACAGACAUACUGAACCACACAGACACUGACAGACUCUCACACACACAGACAUACAGAUACACAAUGACAGACAUACUG